RNAcentral lists this ribosomal RNA (910 nucleotides) under Penicillium paxilli. RNAcentral describes it as "LSU rRNA". It matches the Rfam family "Eukaryotic large subunit ribosomal RNA", at positions 35 to 964 of the family's 3401-position model. The record is from RNAcentral. Lineage: Eukaryota; Fungi; Ascomycota; Eurotiomycetes; Eurotiales; Aspergillaceae.
UAAGCAUAUCAAUAAGCGGAGGAAAAGAAACCACCGGGAUUGCCCUAGUAACGGCGAGUGAAGCGGCAAGAGCUCAAAUUUGAAAGCUGGCCCCUGCGGGGUCCGCAUUGUAAUUUGCAGAGGAUGCUUCGGGAGCGGUCCCCAUCUAAGUGCCCUGGAACGGGCCGUCAUAGAGGGUGAGAAUCCCGUAUGGGAUGGGGUGCCCGCGCCCGUGUGAAGCUCCUUCGACGAGUCGAGUUGUUUGGGAAUGCAGCUCUAAUUGGGUGGUAAAUUUCAUCUAAAGCUAAAUAUUGGCCGGAGACCGAUAGCGCACAAGUAGAGUGAUCGAAAGAUGAAAAGCACUUUGAAAAGAGAGUUAAACAGCACGUGAAAUUGUUGAAAGGGAAGCGCUUGCGAUCAGACUCGCUCCCGGGGUUCAGCCGGCAUUCGUGCCGGUGUACUUCCCCGGGGGCGGGCCAGCGUCGGUUUGGGCGGCCGGUCAAAGGCCCCUGGAAUGUAACGCCUCUCGGGGCGUCUUAUAGCCAGGGGUGCCAUGCGGCCUGCCCGGACCGAGGAACGCGCUUCGGCUCGGACGCUGGCAUAAUGGUCGUAAGCGACCCGUCUUGAAACACGGACCAAGGAGUCUAACAUCUACGCGAGUGUUCGGGUGUCAAACCCGUGCGCGCAGUGAAAGCGAACGGAGGUGGGAACCCCCCGGGGUGCACCAUCGACCGAUCCUGAAGUCUUCGGAUGGAUUUGAGUAAGAGCGUAGCUGUUGGGACCCGAAAGAUGGUGAACUAUGCCUGAAUAGGGCGAAGCCAGAGGAAACUCUGGUGGAGGCUCGCAGCGGUUCUGACGUGCAAAUCGAUCGUCAAAUUUGGGUAUAGGGGCGAAAGACUAAUCGAACCAUCUAGUAGCUGGUUCCUGCCGA